This 453-nucleotide ribosomal RNA is filed under the name uncultured bacterium. Its description in RNAcentral is "bacterial SSU rRNA". It matches the Rfam family "Bacterial small subunit ribosomal RNA", at positions 9 to 465 of the family's 1533-position model. The record is from RNAcentral.
GAGUUUGAUCGUGGCUCAGAUUGAACGCUGGCGGCAGGCCUAACACAUGCAAGUCGAGCGGUAGAGAGAAGCUUGCUUCUCUUGAGAGCGGCGGACGGGUGAGUAAUGCCUAGGAAUCUGCCUGGUAGUGGGGGAUAACGCUCGGAAACGGACGCUAAUACCGCAUACGUCCUACGGGAGAAAGCAGGGGACCUUCGGGCCUUGCGCUAUCAGAUGAGCCUAGGUCGGAUUAGCUAGUUGGUGAGGUAAUGGCUCACCAAGGCGACGAUCCGUAACUGGUCUGAGAGGAUGAUCAGUCACACUGGAACUGAGACACGGUCCAGACUCCUACGGAGGCAGCAGUGGGGAAUAUUGGACAAUGGGCGAAAGCCUGAUCCAGCCAUGCCGCGUGUGUGAAGAAGGUCUUCGGAUUGUAAAGCACUUUAAGUUGGGUAGGAAGGGCGAAGGUAAAUU